GGAUGACUGUGUUUUAAAAGUUUAGCCUUUAAUUCUCCCCAGGCGAGAGAGAGAUGUCACUCAGGACUGCUUCCGAAGGAGUUUCCCUUGAAGCUUGCUUCACUGUCUGACUCCUUUCAUACAAGUGGGUAACAUGCCCUUCAUUCAGAACCAAACCUGUGCCCUGGCUUGGUAUAUUUCCUCCACCUGCUGAGCAUCCUCUCACCCUCUACUUUUACCUGGAAGAAAGAAGACAAUAAUAUCUACCAAUCAAGAUGCUGUACCUGAAGCAGAAGAUAACCUGGCAAAGAAAAGAGUAUAGUGCUGCCUUCAGGGAACUCCUAGUCUAGGGGAAGACAGCCAAUAAUCACAUAACUGCUCUAAUCAAAUAUUUCACCAAAAUAAAGUAUUAGCCACCUCCUAGA
Molecule: long non-coding RNA, 404 nt
Filed under: Homo sapiens (human)
Lineage: Eukaryota; Metazoa; Chordata; Mammalia; Primates; Hominidae
Description: non-protein coding NRG3-AS1:6
Source: RNAcentral